GCGCCCGUAGCUCAGCUGGAUAGAGUGUCGGCCUCCGAAGCCGAAGGUCGCAGGUUCGAAUCCUGCCGGGCGCGCCA
Molecule: transfer RNA, 77 nt
Filed under: Algiphilus sp.
Lineage: Bacteria; Pseudomonadati; Pseudomonadota; Gammaproteobacteria; Nevskiales; Algiphilaceae
Also listed under: 6 other names
Description: tRNA-Arg
Rfam family: tRNA
About the family: Transfer RNA (tRNA) molecules are approximately 80 nucleotides in length. Their secondary structure includes four short double-helical elements and three loops (D, anti-codon, and T loops).
Source: RNAcentral